Long non-coding RNA from Dermacentor andersoni, 597 nucleotides. RefSeq lists it as uncharacterized. Lineage: Eukaryota; Metazoa; Arthropoda; Arachnida; Ixodida; Ixodidae. The record is from RefSeq and is a predicted model, not a curated record.
UAUCUACGUCGUCAUCGUCAUGGCGUAGGCAUCUGAGCUGGUUGGGCACGUUUCCUUCGCCCCUGUGGUUGGGCAUCUCUGCGAUGUAUGCAGGGGCAGGGCACAACAUGUCCCAACCCGGGACGAAGUCUUGACGAUGUCGCCCACAAAUUAGUCACACCAUUUCAGGCCUUUGAAAAAUGUACGCAACCACUUUCACUCAAGAAUUUAGAAGAUGCACCAUCGACGUAUAUUUAUUUGAAAGCACCGUUUGGGGGGGCUAAAGGAAAAAUAAGGAUGAUUGGCUCCCAUUUUUGAUGGACACUGACUUGCAUCAGUUCUCCUGUGAAGCAGCUGUGAUGACCGCUGGCCACGCCUAAAGGCGUCAUCAGUACUCGAAGUGUUCCCAGGUGGUCUCCCUCCCCAAGUACUGAAAGCUUCCAGUGCUCCUUGGCUUUGUUGUUCAGACCUGAUGGCCUCUCUCGGGGGAACUGGCGAAUCCGUGUCCUUGUUCGCAUAUCAUGUCAUGCACUGCAUGGUGUGGUGAAAUCAAUGCUCAAAGCUUUCCCACAGGGAAUGUCUGUCAGAAACUAUUAAAUCUUAUUUUUAGACCCUGUU